This 756-nucleotide ribosomal RNA is filed under the name Triticum aestivum (bread wheat). Its description in RNAcentral is "partial small subunit ribosomal RNA". Lineage: Eukaryota; Viridiplantae; Streptophyta; Magnoliopsida; Poales; Poaceae. The record is from RNAcentral.
AUGUGGUUUGGCGAGAGCGAGGCCAAUGUGCGUGAGAUUUUCGAUAAGGCAAGGCAGUCGGCACCAUGUGUCCUCUUUUUCGAUGAGCUCGACUCGAUUGCCACCCAGAGAGGAAACAGUGUCGGCGAUGCCGGAAGCGCUGCUGAUAGAGUGUUGAAUCAGCUUCUUACCGAAAUGGACGGAAUGAAUGCCAAGAAAACCGUGUUCAUUAUCGGUGCCACCAACAGGCCAGACAUCAUAGACCCAGCCUUGCUUAGGCCUGGGCGCCUUGAUCAGCUCAUUUACAUUCCUCUGCCUGAUGUCGAAUCAAGGCUCCAGAUCUUCAGGGCCUGCCUUAGGAAGUCUCCUGUGGCCAAGGACGUUGACCUGAAUGCACUCGCCAAAUACACGCGAGGGUUCAGCGGCGCAGACAUCACGGAAAUCUGCCAGCGUGCGUGCAAAUACGCCAUCAGAGAGAACAUUGAGAAGGACAUGGAAAAGGAGAGGCGGCUGAAGGAAAACCCUGAAGCCAUGGAGGAAGACGAGGUGGACGAGAUCAAGGCUGCUCACUUCGAGGAGAGCAUGAGGUAUGCACGCCGGAGUGUGAGCGAUGCUGAUAUUCGCAAAUACCAGGCCUUUGCUCAGACGCUGCAGCAGUCCCGUGGUUUCGGUACCGAGUUCCGGUUCGUUGAUCAGCCGGCGGCAGGCACUACCGCUGCGACAGAUCCUUUCGCAUCCUCUACCACGGCAGCUGAAGAAGAUGAUUUGUACAGUUAA